CAGCUUGUUGGUGGGGUAACGGCCUACCAAGGCUCCGAUCGGUAGCUGGUCUGAGAGGAUGAUCAGCCACACUGGGACUGAGACACGGCCCAGACUCCUACGGGAGGCAGCAGUGGGGAAUAUUGGACAAUGGGCGAAAGCCUGAUCCAGCAAUGCCGCGUGUGUGAAGAAGGUCUUCGGAUUGUAAAGCACUUUCAACGGGGACGAUGAUGACGGUACCCGUAGAAGAAGCCCCGGCUAACUUCGUGCCAGCAGCCGCGGUAAUACGAAGGGGGCUAGCGUUGCUCGGAUUGACUGGGCGUAAAGGGCGCGUAGGCGGCUUGUACAGUCAGACGUGAAAUUCCUGGGCUCAACCUGGGGGCUGCGUUUGGAUACGUGCGGGCUUGAGUUCGGAAGAGUGUCGUGGAAUUCCCAGUGG
This 418-nucleotide ribosomal RNA is filed under the name uncultured Alphaproteobacteria bacterium. Its description in RNAcentral is "SSU rRNA". It matches the Rfam family "Bacterial small subunit ribosomal RNA", at positions 242 to 676 of the family's 1533-position model. Lineage: Bacteria; Pseudomonadati; Pseudomonadota; Alphaproteobacteria. The record is from RNAcentral.